GACGAACGCUGGCGGCGUGCCUAAUACAUGCAAGUAGAACGCUGAAGGAGGAGCUUGCUUCUCUGGAUGAGUUGCGAACGGGUGAGUAACGCGUAGGUAACCUGCCUGGUAGCGGGGGAUAACUAUUGGAAACGAUAGCUAAUACCGCAUAAUAGUAGAUGUCGCAUGACAUUUGCUUAAAAGGUGCAAUUGCAUCACUACCAGAUGGACCUGCGUUGUAUUAGCUAGUUGGUGAGGUAACGGCUCACCAAGGCAACGAUACAUAGCCGACCUGAGAGGGGGAUCGGCCACACUGGGACUGAGACACGGCCCAGACUCCUACGGGAGGCAGCAGUAGGGAAUCUUCGGCAAUGGACGGAAGUCUGACCGAGCAACGCCGCGUGAGUGAAGAAGGUUUUCGGAUCGUAAAGCUCUGUUGUAAGAGAAGAACGAGUGUGAGAGUGGAAAGUUCACACUGUGACGGUAUCGUACCAGAAAGGGACGGCUAACUACGU
RNAcentral lists this ribosomal RNA (494 nucleotides) under uncultured bacterium. RNAcentral's name for it is "partial 16S ribosomal RNA". It matches the Rfam family "Bacterial small subunit ribosomal RNA", at positions 28 to 506 of the family's 1533-position model. The record is from RNAcentral.